RNAcentral lists this long non-coding RNA (4782 nucleotides) under Sus scrofa (pig). RNAcentral's name for it is "lncRNA (ENSSSCG00055028490.1, ENSSSCG00065012666.1)". Lineage: Eukaryota; Metazoa; Chordata; Mammalia; Artiodactyla; Suidae. The record is from RNAcentral.
AAUCACAGGUAGAACUACAAGUAUGGGCUCACUAAAGCUUUAUAAAAUAUUUAUGUUUUAUUUAUAUGUUCAUUUGUUUACUUCCCCCAAUAUAUAAAUGAACUAACUACAAUAUAAGUUAUUAUCUCCCAUAAACUGCUAACAGUCUUAGCUUAUUAAUUCCAUACAUAAAUAAAACAAUCAAAGGCAGUGUAGUAUGAUGUCAAGUGCCGUGAACUCAAUCAGGAACUUAGUUUUCAGUGAAAUCUGCAUAUAAAUGGGAUCAGUAGAUAUAUAAUAGCUUACUUCUUAGGUUAAUGCUAUACAGUACACUCAAUCCAGUGUUUUCCUAAGUGCUUUUAACGUCAAGGCCAUGUAAGAGACAAAGCAGAAUUUUUUAUAAAUUACUUAGUUUACAUAGCAUGGUCCAAUCAACUUGUAAAACGUUUCACACUCAUGAAAUAUAUAAAUGCUAUCAUAUUAAACAGGCCAUAGCAUGACGCUAACCACACUUUGUUUUGGUAAAACAAUUGACUACGACAGUUUACACAUAGGUCUCCAUGUCUUAUAACACGUAACACAGUUACCAUGGUAGCCACUAAACGGAGUUGAGAGGAGUGCCUGAUUACAGGCAGUUAUUUUUAGGCACUGGCACAAGUCCUAUCAAGAUGAUGAUUAAUUGAAAAAACAUUUCUGUUAAAUUUUGUAUAUUACACACACAUGUGCGCACACACACUCUCUCACACAGAGCAGCUAUGGAUAUCAUAGAAAUUGAAAAAUACACGAGGAGAGGGUACACAGAUGCCACAGGGCAGUAAAAGCCUGAUUAAACAGAAGCCACAAGAUAGAAGGAAGAUAGAUACAAACACAGAGGGAAGCGGAGACAGAAAAGCUUAGUGUCCAGAAUGGCAGGAUUCUAUAGAGACUGUUGGGCCAUUAGAGCUGCUGUAAGUGUCCAGAGUAAGAUUCCACUAUUCUCUGACCAGAUGACUUAAGUGCUGAGAUAAGAAGUGUCCCUAAGUAAUUGAUAAACCAACCCAUAUCAUCACAGAUCACCUUAAGAUGCAGCUGUUCCUUGAAAUCCAAGAGCAUUUAACUAUUAAACCAUGAGUUAUACAACUAAUGAGGAUAAUAGAAUCAGAAAAUAAGUCCCAGAAGUUCCCUAAUGGAGGUGAAGAAACACAUGAAUAUAUCCGAUUUCCUUUUAUUUGAAAUAGAUGCAUCUCUAUGCUAAAAUUCAACAAAAGCCCAUUUUCAAUACUGAUGUUUAAAUAUGAGACUGCACUUAUAGACUCAAAUUGGAAAUGCAGGGGGCCCCAUACGGUGGAUUUGACCCUCAAUUAAACUUUAUUUGACAUAGGAACAAACAAGUACAGAAAAUAUGCUUCUAUUUGCAGAAUUGCAGUUUAAAAACAUGAAUUAUAUUCUAAAAGUUCACAAAAUCAUAAAUACAAAGGCAUGUUCCUCAAUUUUUGUUUUAUUCUGUUUUUUAAUAAAAAGCCUCAGUACACAGAUGAUGUUUCUGUGCUACUUUUGGUGCACAUGUUUUGAUUUCUGUCUGCACGCCUUUUGAGAUUCUGUCCCAUUCUAUAUUUAUAAUUCUCUUAUUCUCAUUAUUGCCAAAUUGAAUUUUAACUAUUUUUCUCAAUCUCCAGAUUAAUGUACUUUUAAAUUUUUUUCUCCUCUUUCUUUUUUUAAUCUUUAUCUCUUCAAUGGCCUUUUUUUUUUUUUUUAACAGAGAACACACAAAGAGGGAUGCUAAAUAGAAUGUUAUAUGUCAUUCUUAAAAGUUCACAUAGUAAAAAGUAGUAGCAUUGAUAUUUUAUUGUAUUGAAGGGGAAACUUAGAACUCACUUCCCCAUGUACAGAAUGAUCCACAUAUAUAUUCAACUUGAGGUCUUAAAGCAAAGGUAGCAGAAGACUUUAUAUAACAGUGAUUGCUUUGCUUUUGAAAUAUAAUAAGCAGCAAAGAGGAUGUAAUGAUGGUCUUUUUUACUUUUGGAACACCUUUAAUACUGUAGAAAUAAUUUUAUGUUUCCUUUGUCACCUCACAAAUAUUAUUAAUACAGGAUAUCACUGUCUUAAAAUUAGGAAAUGAGUGCUGUGAAGUCACUGAGAAAAUGAAUGAAUGAGCUAGGAAUAACAUAACACCUUGUAUUUCUUUCCUUCCUCUCUCCCUUCCUUCCUUUAUGCCUACUAAUACAAUUUUUUUCUUAAUUUCCAGGAGUAGCAGUGAUUUUGCUACAAGAAAAUUGAAUCCAGAAUGAGAGAUGAUUGCUCUAAUUUAGUUCUUUAUUAUGCUUUAUCAAAAAGUAGCACUUUUCUUUGUGUAACAGAAAUUAACUGAUUACAAUGAUAACAAUACUUUGUAUGCAUUUAUUUGAAAAAUGUCUCUUGAUUGACUUCUAUGAAGUGUUGGUUUUAGUUCUGACUCAAAAUCAUACAUGAAAGAUGCUAUUGUCUAACCCACAUUCUAGUACAAUCAUCUUUGAGGCUAAUACUAAGAAAAAAAAGAAACUAAUUUUUAUGGAAUUCCUAAUACAUGCCAGACAUUUUCUCAAAGUGAUUUACUAAUUAAUCUACUCAUUCAUACUGUGAUAAAUGUACUCUUUUUCUCACUUUUCAAUUUCGUAAGUUAGAGAUUAAGUUGUUCUCACCAGUCUGGGGGAAUCUUCCAAGUUAGUGUCCGCAGGAGUAUGGACUACAGUACUGUGUCUUCCUACAAAACAUAGAAUGUAUAAAUGAAUUUUAAUUGGUAAGUGUUCCAUGCCUACUCUGCCAACUUUCAAUUGUAGAAAGGCAGUUUAGAACUGGGACUUUGACAAUUGCAUUAUUUGGGACACAGAGGAAGCAUGGAUUGGAAUGUUUUUCAUGUUUACCAAAACCAUCUGAAGAUUUAAAAGUUAUCUCAAAAAGAAAAGGUUUGUUUUUGUUUUUAGUACAUUAAAGCAAUUUAUCAAACCUCUAUUAUUUUUUCUACUUUCUAAUUUAUAAAUGUUCUUAAAUCACUGGCUAGAUAUGAGCUAAUAUGAACAUCUUUCCUUUACAUUAUUAAGUUUAGGCCAAUCUACUUGACAAUGGCCUUUACCAUUCACUCAAGUCAGAGCUCAUGAAUUGAUAAUAUUUGUAGCAUUUGCUAGCAAACAUAAAAAAAAAAUGACUGACUGGUCAUAAACUUUAUUGUAAAUCAAAGUCAAUAUUUUUAUGUCCUUGGAUAAAUAUGUCACACAAGUUUUUGUAAGAACUUUGUAUAGUUGACUCAAAUUCUUGUAAUUUUUUUUCUUUAACCAGAUUAAUUUGUAUAAGUAAGCACUAUGCUUCCAAAGUUUUUUUUUUAAUUUUUUGAUACCAGUUAUUUUACACAACUAUUUAUAGAACAAUUUGGAAUAAUCAAAUCAAAACCAGAGAGGACGCUUCAGAUGUAUUUCAUUUCCCUCUGAUUCCCAAUUGAAACAUGAUGUUUUAAGGAAGCAGCCAAGAGAGGCACAUGUUCUUUUGAGUUGCUGACUUGAAAACUGAUCUUAAGAAUAGACUAAGAAUUUAGUAAACUGGUAAAGAAAGAAGGACAUGUGUGAGAGAUGAGAUUCUCAUUUUCUUGCCUUCUUAUAUGGCUGUUUUUUAGUAUCUCUUAGACGUGGACGAUCUUGAUGAAUGAUUCAUCAGUAUCAUCUGAAUCUAUAGUCAGGUGUACACAUUCAUUUAAUCUGUCAGUUUGAAAUAUUCAGAGAACGAAGUAUUUAAAAGAAGCAGUGUACCAUUGUUAAAGGUUGAUUCUUUUAACAACAUGUAAAUUGUUAUUAAGCAGCUUUUUUUCUGGUACUGUCAAAGAGACACAGGGGAGGUGAUUGUGUCUGGAAAGUCCAAGAUCAUAGUGCUCAAGGAUUCAGUGUCUGGUGAAGAGCCUCUUCGGACCUGGAGACUUCUGACAUCUCUCCAUGCCCUCUCUGUGGAAGGGUGGUUGAUGAAGCCAGUCACUGAGAUAAGGAACACUAGAAGCUAAGGGAUGAAUGGAAAGUGGCUAGUCUGAAUGCUGGAUAUUUUCCACUGCACCUCAGAUCAACAUAUUUCCUUUCUGUUCUUCCUGGGCAAGAUGCUUUCCAUGGAUUUUACAGACUGGAUUUCCCUGCCCUAUGGCUCCUGGUUGAGUAAUGCCAGCAGGAGAUCUAAGUGCAAGAAGAGUGGGAGCCAACCUGGGAGUUGUGGCCUGUCACAGCUUUGGUGACUCUGGGUGUUUAACCCACUGAGCCGCUGCAGAAACACCAUAGAUCCUGUUGUGCCACGGCAGGAACUCCUUGACUAAACUUUUAAAAUCAAAGAUAUAUGUCUUUCUUCACUUAGCCACUCUCUUCCCAAAAGAUCAAUGGAAUUCUUUACUAGACAAGGGGAAAUGAUUUUUGAAACCAACUUUCUGCUUCGUUAUUUCCCCUUCAAGUCCUUUUAUGCUUGGAAUUAAGAAAAGUAAAAGUUCUCAUUAGAAAUCUUAGUUCAAAUAAGACAUGGGCUUGAAAUUUUUGAAGAUUUUCAGGGAAGUAAAAAGUUCUCAAGGCACAAGAGCCAACUCUGUUCUUUUGAAAAUUAAGCAUAAUUACUUCACUUGGAGGAUUAUUUCACAAUUCAGUAGAUUCACUUCCAGGAAAAUUGUCUUGGUGUUAAGCCUAGUUUGGUUUUCUUUUUCUUCUUUAUACUAGACUUACUUACAGUAGCUCUCUUUUAUUUUGUGAGGCACCCUACAGGGAAUGAGAAUACUUUGCAAAUUAAACACUAUUUGAAUAAAGUCUGCAUGGAAAUAAAGGCCUUUAUACA